CUAAAAGCAUAAAUAUGUGCACUAAUAGUUGAGUAUUAAAUAUAUCGAUUGAAAAUAUCUGAAGAAUACAAAAUUAUAUUUUCUUUAUGAUCUGUAUUAGUUUUUAAGGCAAAAAUCAUGACAACUUGUUUAAAUUAUACUAAAUUGGAUACUACUUUUCAAAAAUAAACUCAAUCAAAAAUACUAUAACAUUUGAAUUUAUUUUUUAUUUAUUAUUUUUUAUAGUUUAGUAUUUAGGGGAGGUUUAGUUUAUAAAUUUCUAUAAAUAAUUUUUAAACAUUUAUAAAUGA
This 290-nucleotide long non-coding RNA is filed under the name Brassica napus (rape). Its description in RNAcentral is "long non-coding RNA (BNAP_LNC005879)". The record is from RNAcentral. Lineage: Eukaryota; Viridiplantae; Streptophyta; Magnoliopsida; Brassicales; Brassicaceae.